GUAACAAGGUUUCCGUAGGUGAACCUGCGGAAGGAUCAUUACUGAGUGAGGGUCCCUCGGGGCCCAACCUCCCACCCGUGUAUACCGUACCUUGUUGCUUCGGCGAGCCCGCCCCCUUCUCGUUAGGGGGGCACAGCGCUCGCCGGAGACACCAACGUGAACACUGUCUGAAGUUUUGUCGUCUGAGUCGAUUGUAUCGCAAUCAGUUAAAACUUUCAACAAUGGAUCUCUUGGUUCCGGCAUCGAUGAAGAACGCAGCGAAAUGCGAUAAUUAAUGUGAAUUGCAGAAUUCAGUGAAUCAUCGAGUCUUUGAACGCACAUUGCACCCCCUGGUAUUCCGGGGGGUAUGCCUGUCCGAGCGUCAUUGCUGCCCUCAAGCACGGCUUGUGUGUUGGGUCGUCGUCCCCCCGGGGACGGGCCCGAAAGGCAGCGGCGGCACCGCGUCCGGUCCUCGAGCGUAUGGGGCUUUGUCACACCGCUCUUGUAGGCCCGGCCGGCUGCUGGCCGACGCUGAAAAGCAACCAACUAUUUCUCCAGGUUGACCUCGGAUCAGGUAGGGAUACCCGCUGAACUUAAGCAUAUC
RNAcentral lists this unclassified non-coding RNA (583 nucleotides) under Aspergillus melleus. RNAcentral's name for it is "sequence contains 18S rRNA gene, ITS1, 5.8S rRNA gene, ITS2, 28S rRNA gene". The stretch from base 211 to 364 matches the Rfam family "5.8S ribosomal RNA". Lineage: Eukaryota; Fungi; Ascomycota; Eurotiomycetes; Eurotiales; Aspergillaceae. The record is from RNAcentral.